RNAcentral lists this small nuclear RNA (195 nucleotides) under Ipomoea nil (Japanese morning glory). Its description in RNAcentral is "U2 spliceosomal RNA". It matches the Rfam family "U2 spliceosomal RNA". From Rfam's summary of the family: U2 is a small nuclear RNA (snRNA) component of the spliceosome (involved in pre-mRNA splicing). Complementary binding between U2 snRNA (in an area lying towards the 5' end but 3' to hairpin I) and the branchpoint sequence (BPS) of the intron results the bulging out of an unpaired adenosine, on the BPS, which initiates a nucleophilic attack at the intronic 5' splice site, thus starting the first of two transesterification reactions that mediate splicing. The record is from Rfam by way of RNAcentral. Lineage: Eukaryota; Viridiplantae; Streptophyta; Magnoliopsida; Solanales; Convolvulaceae.
GUACCUUUCUCGGCCUUUUGGCUAUGAUCAAGUGUAGUUUCUGUUCUUAUUAGUUUAAUAUAUCUAAUAUGCGUCAAUGGUCUGCACGAUAUUAACUCUAUAUGUUUAGGGAAAUGCCUAAUAAGGUAGAUUGCUACUUGGACCUUUGUGCGAUGCCUCGGUGUUGCACUACUGCUUUGGCUUGGCGUACUCUAC